Non-coding RNA from Trichonephila clavata, 73 nucleotides. NCBI's taxonomy places the organism in Eukaryota, Metazoa, Arthropoda, Arachnida, Araneae, Nephilidae. The record is from the annotation of a GenBank genome assembly.
GUCCUUGUAGUGCAAUUGAUAGCUCGUUGGACUUCUAAUCCAAAGGUUGUGGGUGCGAAUCCCACCUGGUAUG